UUACUAUGUGCUUGAAUGGGAAACAUGAUUUGUGUGGUAGUUAAUGAUGGGGUUUAGAGUCAAGUCCACAGUCAUGCAUUCUCUAUUCUCUCCACCAGCCUGACUGCAUGCUCCUCAUAAAUAACAUUUUCAGUGGAUGAGGGGACCGUAAAUCUGUCCAGAGGCGGGACACCCUGUUCUACUCUCUUCCUGGACACUACCUUUUAAUUCACUAGAGGAUAAUGAGAAGUUGGAAAUCUGAUUCAGCAAAUAGCUACCGAGGGUCUACUUGUUUCCAGUCACUGGGGAUUUAAUGGCAAAAUAACCCUCAAGAAGCUUAUUGUCUAGUGGAAAAGACCAACAGUUCUGGAGGCUGGGAAGUCCAAGAUCAAGCUGCCAACAGAUUUGGUGUCUGGUGAGGCUGCACACUCCAGAGGGGCAGAACGCUGUGACCUCACAUGGCAGAACUGAAGAGCAACCUAAGGACAAGGUGUGUAUGAUAAAGCAGUGGGAACCAGGCAAAGAAGAUCAUUAAAGCCCUUACCAGCCAAGCUCCCAUUCUCACUCAGUCCCCUGCAAACCAUCGGCAUAAAGAGCAAAGUUUCAGAGAUCACAUCCUCUAGUGGAGAGCAAAUGAACAAAAGGGGAAAGAGAGACGCGAUGAAUUGCACGUGCGCUAUUAUAUUUGCAAGCGGGUUACAUUGUCCUUGGAUAAGAAUUUUAUAUUCCCCGUGAGUCGGAGACUCUGUGCUCUGAAUUAUGUUGCUCAAUUCAAGCGAUGAUCCAAGGCCAAUGACAGUAUACCAAGCUAUCAUUUCUUGGCAGGUCGAAUAGUCAUGUGUAUAUUUUAUGUUCCUUAUAAAAGUUAGGCGAUAUAAAUAUUGGUGAUAUGAAAGUUGAUAUUUUACAUAAAUUGUCAAUUGCUAGUCAAACACGUCAAGGUUUUUUCUUUAUGUGGUGGGGCUUUAAAAUCUCAGCAGGGAGUUCUUUGAGUUUGAAGUGUCUCCCCUAAGCUUUCCAUUUCAGACACUGUUUUUUUCCAAAACAGGUCUCAGUGUGUUGGUGUUUCCAAAGUGCAGAUGAUUCCUGUUCUUAUUUUGUGGCUGUUCUUGCAGAAUGCUAUCAGCCCCAGAUCUAGGGUAGAGGACAGGCUUGAUUGGAGCCUUUGCCUGUUACAAUGCAUGAUUCCACCACAGGCCAGCUGUGACCAUUCCGCCCAGUGACAGCGUGGUUGUCUUUCCUCAUAGGUGAAGGAGGUGACUUCUUAUGGGACAUGAUUUCUGAAGCAGAAGUUUACCUGAGGUUCCUGGAAGAAAUGUUUUCCCCACCUGUUGGCUCCCUGAGUAUUAACAUGCCAGAUGCAAAGCUUCAUUCAUUCUAUUAAAAUGCAAAUGAGCCCAACAGUGUAGUAAAACAGUUUGCUGCUAGAAGUUAUUUACAAUAUUCUAAGAGUAACGCUCUUAUUCACCCUAAGCACAGGUUUUAAUAAAAAGUGGAAGGGAUCGCAAGGGUAUUGAGAUCUCAGCAAGAGAAGGAAAGGGAAAAGGUUGUUUAAAAACAACAUUAAUAGAAGACAUACCGUAUAGAGAGAAAAACGCAGACUGUGCAUGUUCAAGAUAACUUUCAUUACAAUUUUGCCUAAGCCAGGGUGAAUGCAAAUGUUUCAGUUUUAACAGACUGGAUCAUUCAUUCAAAAAGCAUUUAUUGAGUGCCUUCUCAAAAAAGAAUGAUAAUUAGAUUUUUUAAGUUAUAAAGAAAAUAUAAAACCAAAACUGGAGAAAUAUACGCCAACAUUUUUCCAAUGGUUCCGUUGUCAAAGUAGAAUUAGAAUGUAAGUGCAGAGUUAAAUUCCAUUGUCUAUCAAGAAGUAAUUGUAAAGGAGCUAUGUCUAAAAAUGUAUCUUUUCAGUGAUUUUUGUUCUGAACAAUCUUCUGCCUCAAAUACAUUUUGGAUCUAUGA
Molecule: long non-coding RNA, 1938 nt
Filed under: Homo sapiens (human)
Lineage: Eukaryota; Metazoa; Chordata; Mammalia; Primates; Hominidae
Description: HSALNT0364555
Source: RNAcentral